Molecule: long non-coding RNA, 704 nt
Organism: Phlebotomus papatasi
Lineage: Eukaryota; Metazoa; Arthropoda; Insecta; Diptera; Psychodidae
Exons: 2
Source: RefSeq, a predicted model, not a curated record
UUCAAUUCAAUUUUAUUUCAAUUAACUGCACUGCGCCUGCCGAGCGACUUCACAACCGGUCUCCCCAGGUAAACGGCAGAAACCACUGGUUCACAGACCGUAUAAGCCAAGAAGGCAGGAGUCAGGUCAGUAGGCAGUUAAAGGUAGAAUCAGCAAUAAGGCUCACUCCGGAGCACGUAGCAUUGCCGUCGAGUUCAGCUCGUGUCGAAAAAAGGAAAAAAAACUUUAUACCAGUGAAAAAGCGAAAUGAUAAAAAAUAUUUAGUGAAUGUAAUUCAAAGAAUAGAGUGGAAAAAUAUUUAGUGUAAAGCAAGAAAGAAGGACAAGAGGAAAAAGAGGGAGGGUGAGAGAGUGAGAAGAAGAGAGAGACCUUACGGUGUAAGGGGAGAGGGUAGCGAAGGCAUAAGACGCAGGGAUGUCGAAAUGAAAUUAUUUAAGGUACGGCAAUUAAGCACCCAUACUGGAGAAGAAAAAUCGCGCCAAGAGGCGUAUGAGAAAUCCUGGGACGGUGGACAUGCAUAACAGCACUAUAAGAACUAUCAAUUGCACUGAGUAAAACUUAAGAAAAUUGAACAAAGAAUCGUGGAAGCGCUUUCCUGUACAAAACGUGGGCAAAAGAAAAAUGCUAAAGGCCAAAAAGAAAAUCCCACAAAGUAGGAGAAACGCCUACCAAGAAACUAACCAUAUCGGCAAAUAAUAACAAAA